CUUAGAGUUUCCCCAGAUGUGUUUUUUUCCUCAAAUAUGAGUUUUUGCCACUGGGUUUUUUGACCUGGCCCGAGUUCACUGGGUGGACUGGUAAUCCAAGACCCUGGUCCAAAGAGGGGGAAUAGAUAUUAUUCCCAUUUUGACUAUAUGUGUUUACGUUGUGAAUUAUAAUAAUAAUAUUCCCGUUGUUGGGAAUAAUACACUUUGCCUGUUUUGAUCCAAGGUCAAGUUACAGAUAACAUGAUGUGCAGUGUCUGUUUAAAAUUGGUUAACAUGUCAGCUGUUUGAAAUAUUUAACUUGUACACUUAAAAGAUGUAUUCAACAGAUAAUUGAAAAAGCUGAAAAUUGACAGCACGAACUCCUCUUAAAGGGAAAACCUACGGCACAGAGCAAAUG
Molecule: non-coding RNA, 397 nt
Organism: Pelobates cultripes (western spadefoot toad)
Lineage: Eukaryota; Metazoa; Chordata; Amphibia; Anura; Pelobatidae
Source: the annotation of a GenBank genome assembly